RNAcentral lists this ribosomal RNA (577 nucleotides) under Cortinarius cf. armeniacus UBC F28399. RNAcentral's name for it is "eukaryotic LSU rRNA". It matches the Rfam family "Eukaryotic large subunit ribosomal RNA", at positions 1 to 575 of the family's 3401-position model. Lineage: Eukaryota; Fungi; Basidiomycota; Agaricomycetes; Agaricales; Cortinariaceae. The record is from RNAcentral.
GUGACCUCAAAUCAGGUAGGACUACCCGCUGAACUUAAGCAUAUCAAUAAGCGGAGGAAAAGAAACUAACAAGGAUUCCCCUAGUAACUGCGAGUGAAGCGGGAAAAGCUCAAAUUUAAAAUCUGGCGGUCUUUUGGCUGUCCGAGUUGUAAUCUAGAGAAGUGUUAUCCGCGCUGGACCGUGUACAAGUCUCCUGGAAUGGAGCAUCAUAGAGGGUGAGAAUCCCGUCUUUGACAUGGACUGCCAGGGCUCUGUGAUGCGCUCUCAAAGAGUCGAGUUGUUUGGGAAUGCAGCUCAAAAUGGGUGGUAAAUUCCAUCUAAAGCUAAAUAUUGGCGAGAGACCGAUAGCGAACAAGUACCGUGAGGGAAAGAUGAAAAGAACUUUGGAAAGAGAGUUAAACAGUACGUGAAAUUGCUGAAAGGGAAACGCUUGAAGUCAGUCGCGUCGUCCAGGGAUCAACCUUGCUUUUGCUUGGUGCACUUUCUGGUUCGAUGGGUCAGCAUCAAUUUUGACUGUUGGAAAAAGGUCAAGGGAAUGUGGCAUCUUUGGAUGUGUUUAUAGCCCUUGGUCACAUAC